Molecule: long non-coding RNA, 872 nt
Organism: Lutra lutra (Eurasian river otter)
Lineage: Eukaryota; Metazoa; Chordata; Mammalia; Carnivora; Mustelidae
Exons: 4
Source: RefSeq, a predicted model, not a curated record
GAUGCCUGGCGGCCCCGGGGCCACCUAGCUGGCGCCGCGAGGCAGUGACGCCGGAGGCGAGGGGGCGGGACGCACGGAGCGCCUCGCCUAGUCCCGUGCAGGCAAAAACAAAGCCAUCUCUUUUGAAACAAAAAUGAAACAGACGUGGCCGGGGAAAGCUAAAUAUUUGCAAGCCGAUGUGAACAAAGGGGAAAACUCCAGCCAAGGAACUUUGAGUUUCUGCGCGAGCCCCCAGCGGCCCCGCUCGCUGGAUUCUUUAUGAGAACGUCCUUUGCCCCUGCUUUCCCUCAGUCCCCGAAGGAAAAUAAAUCCUCGGCCAAAUGAGACUUGACGGCGUGAACAGAAGACCGUCCAGACAGUCCCAGCUGGCGCAGGCGGAGCCGGGCCAGAGCCUGCCGUCCUGGUGAACACAAUCGAGCAAGGCAGUGAAGCAAAAAUCAUUAGAUGAGGUAACUGAGGCACAGAGAGUUCAAGCAACUUGUCCACAGUCAUCUUCCAAAAAGUGCUGGAGCCAGGAUUUGAAUGCAGGCAGUCCCCCUCUUAUAUCCAAGCUGUCAUCCACUAAGCCAUGCUGUCUCAUAAAAAGAAGUCAAGUCACACAAAUAAGGUGGCUGGACUCAGACACAUCACGCUCCAGUUUGGGUUCCAAGGUGCUUCUUUCUGGAUUUUCACCUGCCUUGCCAAAAAUGAUUGAUUACGCCGGGCCGACUGGGUGUCCGGCAAUACCCAACAAAUGACUUUGGCCCCUAACAGCAGGCCUUGGCCAGAUAGAAAUCAAUAUUUCACCAUUAAAAUCUAUCAAAGAAGAGUUAAGGCACCAUCUGUCCCUGCCGCCUCUCUAUGGUGUGUGAACAUUAAAUCCGACACUUGUA